AGGACGAACGCUGGCGGCGUGCCUAACACAUGCAAGUCGAACGCGCUCCAUUCGGUAGCAAUACUGAUGAAGAGCGAGUGGCGAACGGGUGAGUAGCACGUGAGCAACCUGCCCCGAAGACCGGGACAACACCGGGAAACCGGUGCUAAUACCGGAUAUCCCUAUCGGACCGCAUGAUCUGAUAAGGAAAUGGAUUCCGCUUCGGGAGGGGCUCGCGGCCUAUCAGCUAGUUGGUGAGGUAACGGCCCACCAAGGCAUCGACGGGUAGCUGGUCUGAGAGGACGAUCAGCCACACUGGGACUGAGACACGGCCCAGACUCCUACGGGAGGCAGCAGUGGGGAAUCUUGCGCAAUGGGCGAAAGCCUGACGCAGCAACGCCGCGUGGAGGACGAAGGCUUUCUGAGUUGUAAACUCCUUUCAGCAGGGACGAUAGUGACGGUACCUGCAGAAGAGCACCGGCCAACUCGCGCCAGCAGCCGCGGUAAC
This 487-nucleotide ribosomal RNA is filed under the name uncultured bacterium. Its description in RNAcentral is "SSU rRNA". It matches the Rfam family "Bacterial small subunit ribosomal RNA", at positions 26 to 524 of the family's 1533-position model. The record is from RNAcentral.